Molecule: ribosomal RNA, 301 nt
Filed under: uncultured bacterium
Lineage: Bacteria
Description: partial 16S ribosomal RNA
Rfam family: Bacterial small subunit ribosomal RNA
Source: RNAcentral
CAGUAGCCGCGGUAAUACGAAGGGUGCAAGCGUUAAUCGGAAUUACUGGGCGUAAAGCGUGCGUAGGCGGUUUCUUAAGUCUGCUGUGAAAUCCCCGGGCUCAACCUGGGAAUGGCAGUGGAUACUGGGAAGCUAGAGUGUGUCAGAGGAUGGUGGAAUUCCCGGUGUAGCGGUGAAAUGCGUAGAGAUCGGGAGGAACAUCAGUGGCGAAGGCGGCCAUCUGGGACAACACUGACGCUGAGGCACGAAAGCGUGGGGAGCGAACAGGAUUAGAGACCCCCGUAGUCCCUGUCUCUUAUAC